AGCGGCGGACGGGUGAGUAACGCGUGGGUAACCUGCCCUGUACACACGGAUAACAUACCGAAAGGUAUGCUAAUACGAGAUAAUAUACUUUUAUCGCAUGGUAGAAGUAUCAAAGCUCUGGCGGUACAGGAUGGACCCGCGUCUGAUUAGCUAGUUGGUAAGGUAACGGCUUACCAAGGCGACGAUCAGUAGCCGACCUGAGAGGGUGAUCGGCCACAUUGGAACUGAGACACGGUCCAAACUCCUACGGGAGGCAGCAGUGGGGAAUAUUGCACAAUGGGCGAAAGCCUGAUGCAGCAACGCCGCGUGAGCGAUGAAGGCCUUCGGGUCGUAAAGCUCUGUCCUCAAGGAAGAUAAUGACGGUACUUGAGGAGGAAGCCCCGGCUAACUACGUGCCAGCAGCCGCGGUAAUACGUAGGGGGCUAGCGUUAUCCGGAAUUACUGGGCGUAAAGGGUGCGUAGGUGGUUUCUUAAGUCAGAGGUGAAAGGCUACGGCUCAACCGUAGUAAGCCUUUGAAACUGGGAAACUUGAGUGCAGGAGAGGAGAGUGGAAUUCCUAGUGUAGCGGUGAAAUGCGUAGAUAUUAGGAGGAACACCAGUUGCGAAGGCGGCUCUCUGGACUGUAACUGACACUGAGGCACGAAAGCGUGGGGAGCAAACAGGAUUAGAUACCCUGGUAGUCCACGCCGUAAACGAUGAGUACUAGCUGU
RNAcentral lists this ribosomal RNA (710 nucleotides) under uncultured bacterium. RNAcentral describes it as "bacterial SSU rRNA". It matches the Rfam family "Bacterial small subunit ribosomal RNA", at positions 94 to 823 of the family's 1533-position model. The record is from RNAcentral.